RNAcentral lists this long non-coding RNA (280 nucleotides) under Physcomitrium patens. RNAcentral's name for it is "long non-coding RNA (PPAT_LNC008399)". Lineage: Eukaryota; Viridiplantae; Streptophyta; Bryopsida; Funariales; Funariaceae. The record is from RNAcentral.
AAUCUUGUAAAGAAAAGGAUUGGAGAGAGAUUUCAAUAUUAGAAAGAGAGUUUAGGGCAUCCAUAUAGAUGAAUGGAGAUGGAUGAUGAAAAUCUCUAUUCCUGUUGGUCAAAAAUCAAGACCAAUGGACUUCGAGGAGGCUGCCCGAGGCCAUAUUAGGAAUUAGGAUUAGUUUUUCAAAGCCAUUUGAGCUUUAAAGGCUAAGAUUAAUAUUUUUAGGUUUUUGGCUAUGGUUUUGGUACAAAUCUUGUAUGAUUUGGAAUUUAUUUGAAGGAGAUAU